UGGUUGUGAUGCAGUUUAGCCAAAUCAGACGGAGUUGUGCUUCCUAAGGGCCAUCGAAUCUGACACCUUAGGUAGAAGUGCAAUUCUAUGAAGAUGACAAUGCGAGUUUGUUUAGUGCUGACCCGC
RNAcentral lists this small nucleolar RNA (126 nucleotides) under Nicotiana sylvestris (wood tobacco). RNAcentral's name for it is "small nucleolar RNA snoR127". It matches the Rfam family "small nucleolar RNA snoR127". Lineage: Eukaryota; Viridiplantae; Streptophyta; Magnoliopsida; Solanales; Solanaceae. RNAcentral also lists the same sequence under 1 other name. The record is from Rfam by way of RNAcentral.